Spinacia oleracea (spinach) is the source of this 952-nucleotide long non-coding RNA. RefSeq lists it as uncharacterized. NCBI's taxonomy places the organism in Eukaryota, Viridiplantae, Streptophyta, Magnoliopsida, Caryophyllales, Amaranthaceae. The transcript is spliced from 4 exons. The record is from RefSeq and is a predicted model, not a curated record.
AAUUUUAUAAUUUUAAGUUAAAAAGAAUUUGAAUUGCGAAAAUCGAUUGAAUUUAGAAAACGAUCCUAUUCGGUUUUGGAUUCGAAUCCUAAAACUAAACUCCUAAUUCUAGCCCAAUUGGAAAAGCCCAAAUAAUAAGACCCAAAACACUUUACUCCUUCCUUCUCUUUCAAUUCACGUAAAAAAGGCCAAAAACAAAAAUACACCAAAACCCUUUCUCUACUCCAAGUUCACGUGAAUUGCUUCUCAAACCUCCUCCUUGCUUCACGUUAACCUCUGCGCCGUCACCUUCAGCCACCUGACCACCGCCGGCACUCCUCCCUCCUCCGCCGUCCGCACCACCAGCCACCAUCACCUUGCCGCCCUGCCGCCCUGCUCUUAGCCACCACCUAAUCGCACCGCCGAUCCUCCCAACUGCCCGGUAAUGCUUGUCCUUCCUUUUCUCUUUCGUUCUCCUUUUUUUUUCUAUGUUAGUUCGUGAACUCCUCCUCAUUCGUGCUCUGUUCAUUGCGGAAGCAACCACCAUUCGCCAGCCGCAGCCACCACCUCGCCCAGCCACGUCGACCCAUCAACCACCAUCGCCGCGUGCAACCUUGUGUCCGCCGGCAGCCUUCAUCUCUCCUCUUCAUUGGGCGGAGAAUUCUCUUUAGGCGACUUUUGAAAGUGUUAAAGUGGCCUAUCAGUUUGUUUACACAAGUCUCUAAGGAUCAAUAAGCAUUGUCCAUCUGCAGGUUUGAAGAUGUUGCAUCAUUGGGAUCGGGAAUAGAGAGCUUGUAUUUAGUUUUGAUUUGCUAAGUUGACUUGGGUUUGUUUAAUUGGACUUUAAACUUGUCAUACUAUUUAUAUUUCCUUAUGUUCGUUGGUUGAUUUUUGGGACUAAACCUGUAAUCGAUUAUUUAUAAACCUAAAGUUAGUUUUAUGUUUUCCGCUGCAAAAUUCUGAAUAAGCCGUU